UACGGAGGGUGCGAGCGUUGUUCGGAAUUAUUGGGCGUAAAGAGCAUGUAGGCGGUCUGUUAAGUCUGGUGUGAAAGCCCGGGGCUCAACCCCGGAAGUGCAUUGGAUACUGGCAGACUUGAGUAUGGGAGAGGAAAGCGGAAUUCCGAGUGUAGGAGUGAAAUCCGUAGAUAUUCGGAGGAACACCAGUGGCGAAGGCGGCUUUCUGGACCAAUACUGACGCUGAGAUGCGAAAGCGUGGGGAGCGAACAGGAUUAGAUACCCCGGUAGUCC
RNAcentral lists this ribosomal RNA (273 nucleotides) under uncultured bacterium. Its description in RNAcentral is "partial 16S ribosomal RNA". It matches the Rfam family "Bacterial small subunit ribosomal RNA", at positions 524 to 796 of the family's 1533-position model. The record is from RNAcentral.